GACGAACCGAGCGAACGUUGUUCGGAAUCACUGGGCUUAAAGGGUGCGUAGGCGGGCUGCCAAGUUUGGGGUGAAAUCCUCCGGCUCAACCGGGGAAGUGCCUCGAAUACUGGCGGUCUGGAGGGAGGUAGGGGCGUGCGGAACUAACGGUGGAGCGGUGAAAUGCGUUGAUAUCGUUAGGAACUCCGGUGGCGGAGGCGGCACGCUGGACCUUUUCUGACGCUGAGGCACGAAAGCCAGGGGAGCGAACGGG
This 253-nucleotide ribosomal RNA is filed under the name uncultured bacterium. Its description in RNAcentral is "partial 16S ribosomal RNA". It matches the Rfam family "Bacterial small subunit ribosomal RNA", at positions 524 to 776 of the family's 1533-position model. The record is from RNAcentral.